RNAcentral lists this ribosomal RNA (214 nucleotides) under Nocardia nova. RNAcentral's name for it is "partial 16S ribosomal RNA". It matches the Rfam family "Bacterial small subunit ribosomal RNA", at positions 1322 to 1533 of the family's 1533-position model. Lineage: Bacteria; Bacillati; Actinomycetota; Actinomycetes; Mycobacteriales; Nocardiaceae. The record is from RNAcentral.
GAAGUUGGAGUCGCUAGUAAUCGCAGAUCAGCAACGCUGCGGUGAAUACGUUCCUGGGCCUUGUACACACCGCCCGUCACGUCAUGAAGGUCGGUAACACCCGAAGCCGGUGGCCUAACCCUUGUGGAGGGAGCCGUCGAAGGUGGGAUUGGCGAUUGGGACGAAGUCGUAACAAGGUAGCCGUACCGGAAGGUGCGGCUGGAUCACCUCCUUU